Molecule: ribosomal RNA, 332 nt
Filed under: uncultured bacterium
Lineage: Bacteria
Description: bacterial SSU rRNA
Rfam family: Bacterial small subunit ribosomal RNA
Source: RNAcentral
CGCGUAGGCGGCGGACCUUGUCGAGUGUGAAAGCCCCCGGGCUCAACCUGGGAGGUGCGCUCGAGACGGGUUUGCUGGAGUUCGGGAGAGGAGAGUGGAAUUCCCAGUGUAGAGGUGAAAUUCGUAGAUAUUGGGAAGAACACCGGUGGCGAAGGCGGCUCUCUGGACCGAGACUGACGCUGAGGCGCGAAAGCGUGGGGAGCAAACAGGAUUAGAUACCCUGGUAGUCCACGCUGUAAACGAUGUGUGCUAAACGUUGGGGAGCGUAGCUCUUCGGUGUCGCCGCAAACGCUUUAAGCACACCGCCUGGGGAGUACGGCCGCAAGGUUAAA